UUGGUGAUCUAAUUUGCCCUAAAGAUUAGUCUAUUUGACCAGCGCAAAAGUGAUUCAUAUUUUGCAUCCACUCCAAAUUUUAGUAUCUAGUAAAGUCACAUUGCUGAUCAAAAUAUUCUUCCCUUCUACUUGGAAGCUCACCGCCUCACCCUUUCACUUUCAAAAUAUGUUUGAAUUAUUAAAAAACUUCACAAUUAUAUAUAUGUUAGAAAUUUUUUUUAUUAUACUACACAAAAAAGAAUUAUAUUUCCAAUAUUAUAUACCUUAAAACAAUUCCAUUUGCCAAUUAAGUUUGUGUGAUAUAUGGAAUUCCCCUCACAGUCUCUUACUGUAUCAGCUCCAUCUGUUAUGCGGUUGGAUUUGUUGUUUUAGUCUCAUCAGACUCAAAUUCUGAUCUAUCAAAUGCGGUCAUAUUUGCAGUCGCAUAUUGGAUGUUUCUCUUUAUUUUGAUUUCAUCAGCAUAUGCUUUUCUUAUCCGUCCAUCGUUAGAAAAUGGGCCACCUUAUAUGCAACAUGUUCCGUUAGAUGUUAUGAGGGAUGGAAUGUCCCAGUCUCUUACGAGGCUGGAACAAGCCUGUCCUCGGGUAAUGAAUCUCGUGUUUUCUCUGUUCAACAAGAUCAUCACAAUGAAUGGUAACUUCAACAGGUGGUGCAGUGAAUCUUUUCAGUGUUGAUAUACGGCGUAUUUGCUGCUUGCAUCUUUUUAUGCUUUUUGCGCGAGAAGUUGGAUUCAGUGAUCUUCAAAUAUGACAGAGGUUUUAGAGUCACUAGACAUGAGCAAGAUCCAGUAAUUCCACAGACACUACCGUUGUCUUCCAUAGAUAUCGAUGAUGUUGUUGUUCCUCUGCUACAGCAGACACUGUGAUUGCAUUAACAUGUACCGUCUUUUACGGCCAAUCUUGAUCCGUUGCAUUCCGACUCAGUCCCCUCAACAAACUUCAUCUAUAGAAUUACAUUGAGAUUGUUAAAAUUUAAUGUUUAACGCCUUUUUGAAAAGAGUUUAAAGUAGGUAUUUUGCCGUAAAUGUCAAAUGACUUUUAUUUUUAAAUUUUCUACUCAUUACUUACUUAUUAUAA
Long non-coding RNA from Solanum lycopersicum (tomato), 1076 nucleotides. RefSeq lists it as uncharacterized. The record is from RefSeq and is a predicted model, not a curated record. NCBI's taxonomy places the organism in Eukaryota, Viridiplantae, Streptophyta, Magnoliopsida, Solanales, Solanaceae.